Molecule: transfer RNA, 87 nt
Filed under: Idiomarina sp. A28L
Lineage: Bacteria; Pseudomonadati; Pseudomonadota; Gammaproteobacteria; Alteromonadales; Idiomarinaceae
Also listed under: 2 other names
Description: tRNA-Leu
Rfam family: tRNA
About the family: Transfer RNA (tRNA) molecules are approximately 80 nucleotides in length. Their secondary structure includes four short double-helical elements and three loops (D, anti-codon, and T loops).
Source: RNAcentral
GCCGAAGUGGUGGAAUUGGUAGACACGCCAUCUUGAGGGGGUGGUGCUCUAAUGAGCGUACGAGUUCAAAUCUCGUCUUCGGCACCA